UACAGAGGGUGCAAGCGUUAAUCGGAAUUACUGGGCGUAAAGCGUGCGCAGGCGGUUUUGUAAGUCUGUCGUGAAAGCCCCGGGCUCAACCUGGGAAUUGCGAUGGAGACUGCAAGGCUUGAAUCUGGCAGAGGGGGGUAGAAUUCCACGUGUAGCAGUGAAAUGCGUAGAGAUGUGGAGGAACACCGAUGGCGAAGGCAGCCCCCUGGGUCGAGAUUGACGCUCAUGCACGAAAGCGUGGGGAGCAAACAGG
Molecule: ribosomal RNA, 253 nt
Filed under: uncultured bacterium
Lineage: Bacteria
Description: partial 16S ribosomal RNA
Rfam family: Bacterial small subunit ribosomal RNA
Source: RNAcentral